Molecule: ribosomal RNA, 301 nt
Filed under: uncultured bacterium
Lineage: Bacteria
Description: partial 16S ribosomal RNA
Rfam family: Bacterial small subunit ribosomal RNA
Source: RNAcentral
CAGCAGCCACGGUAAUACGAAGGGGGCUAGCGUUGCUCGGAAUGACUGGGCGUAAAGGGCGCGUAGGCGGCGAUCAAAGUCAGGCGUGAAAUUCCUGGGCUCAACCUGGGGGCUGCGCUUGAUACUGGGUUGCUUGAGUGGGGAAGAGGGUCGUGGAAUUCCCAGUGUAGAGGUGAAAUUCGUAGAUAUUGGGAAGAACACCGGUGGCGAAGGCGGCGACCUGGUCCUUUACUGACGCUGAGGCGCGAAAGCGUGGGGAGCAAACAGGAUUAGAUACCCGAGUAGUCCUGUCUCUUAUACA